RNAcentral lists this small nuclear RNA (95 nucleotides) under Jaculus jaculus (lesser Egyptian jerboa). The record is from RNAcentral. Lineage: Eukaryota; Metazoa; Chordata; Mammalia; Rodentia; Dipodidae.
GUGCUCGCUUCAGCAGCAUAUAUACUAAAAUUGGAAUGAUAUAGGAAGAUUAGCGCAAGGAUGACAAGCAAAUUCGUGCUGUGUUCCAUAUCUAA